UGUCUCUCCUGUCUCCCUCCAUGUUGGUCACGACCUUUUUACCUUUUUUUUGUAGUCUGCAUUUGGGUCCUACCCUUUCCACGCAUCCUAACAGAUGGUGUAUAAUGAACAGGACAGCAGCCCUCGAUGGCCUACCCGUGUACCUCAAGGAAGACUCAUCUUCAAAACUUGCAAGGAUAAGAUGGAGGCAACCCAAAAGGGAGCAGUGGUCGAUGAAGAGUAGGUGCCUGCAGGAGUUCCCUUCGAAACUCAUCACGUGGCCAUCAUCCUCGAGGAUCAGGCUGUGAUGUUUCACAGAUCCUGGAUAGAUUCUCUGGUGGUUUUGUUUGGACUGAUCUAUGGUCUCCAUUUGAGCUAUCCUGAGAACUGGCUUCUUUGAGUUCAUUCAGGUUGUCCUCUGGUAAAAAAUGUCAGACUAUUUUGGUGAAGAUCAUCGGAUUCUGAAAAUUAUCAUUUUGUUGCAUGCCAAGAACAGAUUUAAAUUGGAUACCGUGGCAAUAACUGAUGCAAAUGUCAUAUUGCAUGUCUGCAUAUGUUUAGGUGGUGUCUUUACACUUUGUGUUUUAGUACACUCCAUUCUUAUUUUUAAGUUUAAAAAUGAUCUCAGUUUUUCCAACUUUCUUUCUUUUUGAAAAAUGUUGACAUUAAAAUGUUUUAACAUUGAGAUUUAUUUCACACUGAAAUAAUGAAGUUUCCUAAAUGAAUGAAGUAAACACAAUAAAGUCAUAAGUUGUCAUAACUAAAAUGUAAUAAUUAAUUGUAGUGAAACAAACUGGGUAGUUGUAAGUUUUAGUUUUAAGGUGGUGUUACUUAACACUAGAACCGCCAAUCGGGUCAAUUUGACCCA
Molecule: long non-coding RNA, 847 nt
Organism: Trematomus bernacchii (emerald rockcod)
Lineage: Eukaryota; Metazoa; Chordata; Actinopteri; Perciformes; Nototheniidae
Exons: 4
Source: RefSeq, a predicted model, not a curated record